Molecule: ribosomal RNA, 274 nt
Filed under: uncultured bacterium
Lineage: Bacteria
Description: partial 16S ribosomal RNA
Rfam family: Bacterial small subunit ribosomal RNA
Source: RNAcentral
AUACUGAGGGUGCUAGCGUUGUUCGGAAUCACUGGGCGUAAAGCGCGCGUAGGCGGUUCUGUAAGUCGCUUGUGAAAUCCCGGGGCUCAACCCCGGGGCUGCAGGCGAUACUGCAAGACUAGAGCUCGGUAGAGGCAAGUGGAGUUCCCGGUGUAGCGGUGGAAUGCGUAGAUAUCGGGAAGAACACCGGUGGCGAAGGCGGCUUGCUGGGCCGAUGCUGACGCUGAGGUGCGAAAGCGUGGGGAGCAAACAGGAUUAGAAACCCCGGUAGUCC